GUCCACGCCCUAAACGAUGUCAACUAGGUGUUGGGUGGGUAAAACCAUUUAGUACCGGAGCUAACGCGUGAAGUUGACCGCCUGGGGAGUACGGCCGCAAGGUUAAAACUCAAAGGAAUUGACGGGGACCCGCACAAGCGGUGGAUGAUGUGGAUUAAUUCGAUGCAACGCGAAAAACCUUACCUACCCUUGACAUGUCCAGAAGCCCUGAGAGAUUGGGGUGUGCCCGAAAGGGAACUGGAACACAGGUGCUGCAUGGCUGUCGU
RNAcentral lists this ribosomal RNA (266 nucleotides) under uncultured bacterium. RNAcentral describes it as "partial 16S ribosomal RNA". It matches the Rfam family "Bacterial small subunit ribosomal RNA", at positions 793 to 1055 of the family's 1533-position model. The record is from RNAcentral.